AUGUGUAUUCCGAAGGAGAGAGGAGGUAUGGGAUUCCGGGAUAUUCAUAGCUUUAACUUGGCAAUGUUGGCAAAACAUUGUUGAAGACUAAUUGAGAACUUUGGUUCAUUAUGUGCACGAGUUCUGAGAGCCAAGUACUACCCUACAGGAGAUAUUCUGAAUUGUCAACUGAAGAAGGGGUCGUCCUGUUGGGGAACGUAG
RNAcentral lists this ribosomal RNA (201 nucleotides) under Triticum aestivum (bread wheat). RNAcentral's name for it is "partial small subunit ribosomal RNA". The record is from RNAcentral. Lineage: Eukaryota; Viridiplantae; Streptophyta; Magnoliopsida; Poales; Poaceae.